UGGGGAAUAUUGGACAAUGGGCGCAAGCCUGAUCCAGCCAUGCCGCGUGAGUGAUGAAGGCCCUAGGGUUGUAAAGCUCUUUUGUGCGGGAAGAUAAUGACUGUACCGCAAGAAUAAGCCCCGGCUAAUUUCGUGCC
This 137-nucleotide ribosomal RNA is filed under the name uncultured bacterium. RNAcentral's name for it is "partial 16S ribosomal RNA". It matches the Rfam family "Bacterial small subunit ribosomal RNA", at positions 355 to 509 of the family's 1533-position model. The record is from RNAcentral.